Molecule: ribosomal RNA, 421 nt
Filed under: uncultured bacterium
Lineage: Bacteria
Description: bacterial SSU rRNA
Rfam family: Bacterial small subunit ribosomal RNA
Source: RNAcentral
GUAAGGAAUAUUGCUCAAUGGGAGAAAUCCUGAAGCAGCAACGCCGCGUGGAGGAUGAAGGGUCUAUGACUUGUAAACUCCUGUAAAGAAGGAAAAAAUUCCCAUUUGAUGGGAGAUAAUGGUACUUCUGGAGUAAGCCCCGGCUAACUACGUGCCAGCAGCCGCGGUAAUACGUAGGGGGCAAGCGUUGCCCGGAUUUACUGGGUGUAAAGGGUGCUCAGGCGGAUUUGUAAGUCAGAGGUGAAAUCUUACAGCUUAACUGUGAAACUGCCUUUGAUACUGCAAGCCUAGAGUAUGGAAGAGAGUGAUGGAAUAUCUGGUGUAGCAGUGAAAUGCGUAGAUAUCAGAUAGAACACCAAUGGCGAAGGCAGUCACUUGGUCCAUUACUGACGCUAAAGCACGAAAGCGUGGGUAGCAAACA